Long non-coding RNA from Catharus ustulatus (Swainson's thrush), 2121 nucleotides. RefSeq lists it as uncharacterized. The transcript is spliced from 6 exons. The record is from RefSeq and is a predicted model, not a curated record. Lineage: Eukaryota; Metazoa; Chordata; Aves; Passeriformes; Turdidae.
UAAACGACAGGGAGAGUUGUCCGAGCAGGAAAAUGGACGCAGAGGCAUCGCCCCGCUGUUGUCUGGAACAGGACGUCCUGACUGCGGGACAGUUUUGAAUCGUAGAACAUUCUGAAUUGGAAGGGACCCGUAAGGAUCACUAAGUUCAGCUCCUGGCCCUGCACAGGACAACUCCAAGAAUUCCACCAGGUGCCUGAGUGUUGCCCAAACUCCGACAGACUUGGUGCUGUGACCACUUCCCUAGGGAGCAUAUCCCAGUGCCUCACCAGCCUCUGGGGGAAGAAACUUUUGCUCGUAUCCAAACCUUUGGACAGGUAUACUGAGCUGGAGAGGAUUUCUGGCUUUUGACUAGUAGCAGAGCAUAAAACGAAUGGGAAAUGACUCUUCCUGCUGAUGGGCAAGAGGAAUGCUAAGCAGGUCUGUUUCAAGACUCUGAGGAGCAACUGUGAGAUUGUGGUACCAGGGUGGAAUCUCACAAAGUCACGCUUCCAUCAUGUGUGAAGGGGAGUGCCAGCGAACCCAAGCAUCUAGGAGCAGUCUGAUCUGCAGUCAAUUUCAUCUGUGUGACAGAGGAGAUGGAGUACUCCCCAGAAGUGGAGUGGGAGAAUCCACCAACAGAUAUGCGUUAUUUCAAGCUGAAGUUCAGAUCUCUACUGGAGAUGGAUGAAAAGCAAGUCAUGGUCGCCAAAAGCAAUGACCCUAAGAGCAGAUACGUCCUCAGUGGCCUGAAACCUGGAACAGAACAUGAGGUCAUAACUGUGAAAGACAACACAGAGGGGAACCAUUCUCAGUGGCUGGCAGGACUGGUGUGUGGAAAGUUGCUUUUACUGCAGUGAUGUUACUUCAGAGUUUGGGGACAGAUCUUUCAAAAUUCCAGCACAAAAGGUUCAUGAUUUGACUAUUUCUUCGUGCAUGACCUACAGCCAGGUCUGCUUAUACUUUGUUUGAGCUUGCCUACAUUAUGUAUUAAACACUAAAUCCUAGGCCUAGUUCAGUCCUUUGCUUUGGUUUUUUUAUAAUAACUUCACCCUCGACUACAGCUCCAUCCAGACACAGGAUAAGUGUAGUUACCUAGCCUAUGUAUGGAAUAACAACUCUGUUGGCUAAUUGAGUGUCUUAAAGAAAAAUAGCAGAAUGUUUUUGAGCUUUUCUAUUGCAGAAGUGACCUUGAAGACUCUCAUUCUACUUCCAAGCUUCUGGAAUUUCUGAAAUUCAUAUCUUACAGAAGGGUAGGCAUGCUGCUUCCAAAGACUGAAAAAUUCCAUAUCAGGCCUGACAUUCCUGAGGUUGUUGUGUAAAUUAUUCCAUUAAAAUGAAAUUUAUUUAAAACAACAAAACCCACAACCUCUGCAUUAUCAUUUUAAGGCUUUUCUUCUGCCCUGUGUAGACUCUGAUUAUUUGGAACACCUUUGACUUGUGUUUUCAAGCUGUUCUUCACAGAUAUGGGGGCUGCAAAACUUAUUAAAAAAGGAAAAUAAUAACCCUAAUACUCAUAUUCUUAUGUAACCCCCAGAAUUUUGCAAGUAAACAAAUACCAGCUACUUCAAGAGUUACCACCAAGCUCUGAUUCAUCAGCUAAAAUAGCAGAACCUUGGGGGAGUCUGAGAGACAGGUCUGCAGGGAACACAGAAAGGGAGGAGCAGCAGAUGGCUGACAGUGGAGGCAGAGAAUGGGUAGGCACUGUAUUUGGAGCUGGGAGAGGGCAAGCCAGAAGGUUGAUGCCAAAAUGAUUUUUGCUUUUGUAUAUUCUUCAUGUAUUUGUAGCUCUGUAGACUAUUGCUGUAUAGUUAUAUACUUCUUGGCUUACUCCAGCAUUUUUCCUACUCUGAUAGAAAGACAAAACACAUUCCAAAGGCCCUAAUCUUGCUUCCUCUGGGAACCAAGGAUGAACUACCCUCCCAAGACACUUUCCUAUAAGGAACUGGAAGAAGAGGGGUUCCAGAAGAGUUUUAACCAAGAGGGGGAACUACCUGUGUUUCUAAUUGGUGAUUCUUGUCAAUUAUGCUAAUUUACUAAAUUUAUAAAACUGUAUUUGCUGUAUGUGAGGUGGGCAUUUUUCCAUACUUGCACCUGGAGGCCUCCAAUUGAAGACCAGCUUUUAUAUUACCUCCUAUAUUAACA